RNAcentral lists this ribosomal RNA (253 nucleotides) under uncultured bacterium. RNAcentral describes it as "partial 16S ribosomal RNA". It matches the Rfam family "Bacterial small subunit ribosomal RNA", at positions 524 to 776 of the family's 1533-position model. The record is from RNAcentral.
UACGGAGGGGGCUAGCGUUAUUCGGAAUUAUUGGGCGUAAAGGGCGCGUAGGCGGCCCGGUAAGUCAAAGGUGAAAUCCCUCGGCUCAACUGAGGAACUGCCUUUGAAACUGUCGGGCUUGAGGCCGGGAGGGGGUAGCGGAAUUCCCAGUGUAGCGGUGAAAUGCGUAGAUAUUGGGAGGAACACCGGUGGCGAAGGCGGCUACCUUGACCGGUUCUGACGCUGAUGCGCGAAAGCGUGGGUAGCAAACAGG